UUGUUGAUCGAUUGACAUUUAAAAGUAGAAUCGAGUUCGUAAAGGAAUUUCCAGAUGUCACGUAACCGGUGUGUGAAACAGUUUGCUAAUCGAUUGAAAUUUAAAAGUAGAAUUGAGGUCGUAAAAGGGAUUUCCAGAUAUAACCGGUUUGUAAAUCAGUUUGCGAAUAGAUUGAAAUUUAAAAGUAAAAUUGAGUUCGUAAAAGGGAUUUCCAGAUAUAACCGGUGUGUGAAACAGUUUGCUAAUCGAUUGAAAUUUAAAAGUAAAAUUGAGGUCGUAAAAGGGAUUUCUAGAUAUAACCGGUUUGUAAAUCAGUUUGCGAAUAGAUUGAAAUUUAAAAGUAAAAUUGAGGUCGUAAAAGGGAUUUCCAGAUAUAACCGGUUUGUAAAUCAGUUUGCGAAUAGAUUGACGUUUAAAAGUGGAAUUCUGGUAUGACGAAAACAAAUGGCACUACUUGGUUUGUAAAGAAUAGUAACCGUGAUUGAACUGGACUCGGUAGUUGCAAAAAUUAGUGUUCUUAUUGAUGACACUCAGUAGUUUGACGAAGUAAAUUGAUUAUAUGUUAAUUGACUCACGGGUAACAAUAGAAUUAUGAUAGUACUUAUGAUUCUAUGGGUUGAUGCACUUAUAUGAUCUUGCAGUAACAAAUAAACUGGAUUCUGGGUUGCAAAAGUAUGAUAUUUUUCUUUCUUAAUUCUUUGGUCGUUGAUUUCGAUCCAGCCACCAGUGUUGUGUUCGGUAGACGUUGAAAGGAUUGUAUCAAGAGCGCGUCGUCCAAGUUGAAUGUAGGAAUAUAAUUGUACUUUCCUUUUUUUCUCUAUAUAAUUUUUUGAUAAUUUUCCUGGAUAAUGGUUAGACUAUUAGAUGAUUUUCUAUAAUUCUUGGGACAUGUUCAUGGAUAGUGUUCAUAAUUUUGCACAGAUGCGAUUUUUGGAAACGUUUUUCAUAAUUCUUGGGACAUUUUCAUUGAGGUUGUUCAUAAUUUAGCUCGGAUGCGACUUUUGAAAACGUUCUUUAUAAUUAUCGGGACAUUUUCAUGGAAGAUUUUCAUAAUCUAGCUCAAAUGCACCGAUUGGGAUUUUUUUAUAUACUUCUUGGGACAUUUUCAUGGAUGGUGUUCAUAAUUUAGCUCAGAUGCGAUUUUUGGAAACGUUCUUUAUAACUUUUGGGACAUUUUCAUGGAUAGUGUUCGUAACUUUGCUCAGAUGCUCUUCUUGUAAUCAUUCAUUCACCGUUGUGUUGGCAUACGUAUAUUAGCCAGUGUUUCCGUUGUUUAUUUCACCCUCUAUGUUUGUGUUGGUAGGGGCGAGACCCACAACUGUAGCCGAGUGAACCACUGUAGCCGCGUGUCAGUCAGUCAGUCAUUCAGUCCAUCAGUCUGUUUCUUUUGUCGACUUUCCUGAAAACUGUGAUGAUGGUGAGAGGAAGUGAAUGGCCAAGAAACUCACAACUGUAAUUGAAUAUACUACUAGAGCUAAUUUGACGUGGAUGAUUAUUAAUGCUUCUGUUACUAGCAUUAUUUAUUUUUUAUAUAUAUAUGUAGUGUGGAAUUGUAUAAAGCACGUGUGAUGUGUUACACUUUCGUGGGUCAUGUGUUUGCCUGUCUGCUGCGUGUUGGGCUGAUCAAGUCCCCGAGGCAGGCAGGUGCAAGUUACCUGAUGAUACGUUAUUGGGUUUUUUUUCGUAAAUAAAAGGAUCACGCGAGGAA
Molecule: long non-coding RNA, 1708 nt
Organism: Eriocheir sinensis (Chinese mitten crab)
Lineage: Eukaryota; Metazoa; Arthropoda; Malacostraca; Decapoda; Varunidae
Exons: 2
Source: RefSeq, a predicted model, not a curated record